UGGCAGCAUGGGACGCAGCCUGAUGCAGCAACGCCGCGUGAGUGAUGAAGGCCUUCGGGUCGUAAAGUUCUGUCCUAAGGGAAGAUACAGUGACGGUACCUUAGGAAGACCCCCCGGCUAACUACGUGCCAGCCGCCGCGGUAAUACGUGUAGGGGGCA
Molecule: ribosomal RNA, 159 nt
Filed under: uncultured Proteocatella sp.
Lineage: Bacteria; Bacillati; Bacillota; Clostridia; Peptostreptococcales; Filifactoraceae
Description: partial 16S ribosomal RNA
Rfam family: Bacterial small subunit ribosomal RNA
Source: RNAcentral